This 304-nucleotide long non-coding RNA is filed under the name Carica papaya (papaya). RNAcentral describes it as "long non-coding RNA (CPAP_LNC014550)". Lineage: Eukaryota; Viridiplantae; Streptophyta; Magnoliopsida; Brassicales; Caricaceae. The record is from RNAcentral.
UGAUGUACAUGCAUGCGGACACAGACCCAUACACAAAAGAUACAUGUAGGAAAAGGAAAAAUCCUUUUCUCGUAAGGAGUUCUGCAGGUCCCAUCCUAAUAGGUAAACAAUUCUAAAAUCUUUUUGUUUCCUAAAUAGGAUCAGAUUAAACGGGAAAAUUAAUUUUAGUUUCCUAAACUAGAGCAUAUGGAAGAGGAAAGUAACUCCAUCAUUGAGUACUUUCCCAAAUAGGAUUAUUUUAAGAAAUGAGACAAAUAUGUUCAAACAAGAAGGCUUGAGGCCCAAAUGAUGCUUAAUGGGAUUU